Molecule: ribosomal RNA, 497 nt
Filed under: uncultured bacterium
Lineage: Bacteria
Description: partial 16S ribosomal RNA
Rfam family: Bacterial small subunit ribosomal RNA
Source: RNAcentral
GAUGAACGCUGGCGGCGUGCCUAAUACAUGCAAGUCGAGCGAACAGAUGAGGAGCUUGCUCCUCUGACGUUAGUGGCGGACGGGUGAGUAACACGUGGAUAACCUACCUAUAAGACUGGGAUAACUUCGGGAAACCGGAGCUAAUACCGGAUAAUAUAUUGAACCGCAUGGUUCAAUAGUGAAAGACGGUUUUGCUGUCACUUAUAGAUGGAUCCGCGCCGCAUUAGCUAGUUGGUAAGGUAACGGCUUACCAAGGCAACGAUGCGUAGCCGACCUGAGAGGGUGAUCGGCCACACUGGAACUGAGACACGGUCCAGACUCCUACGGGAGGCAGCAGUAGGGAAUCUUCCGCAAUGGGCGAAAGCCUGACGGAGCAACGCCGCGUGAGUGAUGAAGGUCUUCGGAUCGUAAAACUCUGUUAUUAGGGAAGAACAAAUGUGUAAGUAACUAUGCACGUCUUGACGGUACCUAAUCAGAAAGCCACGGCUAGCUACGUG